AUCUGGGAUGUCCAAUCGGGCCCCCAAGCAAACACAUCCAUGUGUACUCUCCCAUGUUGCUUCCCCAGAUCAGUGGCCACUGCUGCCAGCUCACCCCCUUGACUGGGGCCCUGGGUUGAGGUGUCUGGGGAAGGGCCCAAUAUCAAACCUUUGAACCAAUUAGUUGUCUGAAUAGGCCACCUGCCGCAAUCUUUAAAACAUGUUAAAACUUUCAACAACGGAUCUCUUGGCUCUCGCAUCGAUGAAGAACGCAGCGAAAUGCGAUAAGUAAUGUGAAUUGCAGAAUUCAGUGAAUCAUCGAAUCUUUGAACGCACAUUGCGCCCUUUGGUAUUCCUUAGGGCAUGCCUGUUCGAGCGUCACUAAAAACCCCCUCACAGAUAAUGUGGUAUUGGUAGAAGUGAACGGUACUUACAUUACCUUGUCUCACUCUGCUGAAAUAAAUAGGCCAGAGAAGUGGACCCAUGGUAAUUGACUCCAGGAGUGUUUUUCAAUGCUAAACUAGUCUUUACCCAAGUCAAGUUCUGAGCUACCGGACCCCCAUUAAGUCCAAAACAAAGUGGUUGACCUCGGAUCAGGUAGGGAUACCCGCUGAACUUA
Molecule: ribosomal RNA, 598 nt
Filed under: Tuber anniae
Lineage: Eukaryota; Fungi; Ascomycota; Pezizomycetes; Pezizales; Tuberaceae
Description: eukaryotic LSU rRNA
Rfam family: 5.8S ribosomal RNA (bases 207-360)
Source: RNAcentral